AAUGAACGUUGGCGGCGUGGAUUAGGCAUGCAAGUCGCGCGAGAAGUUCCUUCGGGAGACGGACAGCGGCGGAAGGGAGAGGAAUAAGUAGAAAUCUGCCCUCGGGACGGGGAUAGCGGCGGGAAACUGCCGGUAAUACCCGAUAACAUCUUUGGAUCAAAUGGUGUGAUUCCGCCUGAGGAUGAGUCUACUUCCUAUUAGCUAGUUGGUGUGGUAAUGGCUCACCAAGGCAACGAUGGGUAGCGGGUGUGAGAGCACGAUCCGCCUCACUGGGACUGAGACACUGCCCAGACACCUACGGGUGGCUGCAGUCGAGAAUCUUCGGCAAUGGGGGAAACCCUGACCGAGCGACGCCGCGUGCGGGAUGAAGGCCCUCGGGUUGUAAACCGCUGUCGUAAGGGAACAAAUCUAAGAGGGUACUCCCUUUUAGUUGAGUGAUCUUAGGAGGAAGGACGGGCUAAGUUCGUG
This 468-nucleotide ribosomal RNA is filed under the name uncultured bacterium. Its description in RNAcentral is "bacterial SSU rRNA". It matches the Rfam family "Bacterial small subunit ribosomal RNA", at positions 29 to 507 of the family's 1533-position model. The record is from RNAcentral.